Molecule: ribosomal RNA, 392 nt
Filed under: Chrysophyceae sp.
Lineage: Eukaryota; Chrysophyceae
Description: partial small subunit ribosomal RNA
Rfam family: Eukaryotic small subunit ribosomal RNA
Source: RNAcentral
AUUCCAGCUCCAAUAGCGUAUAUUAAUGUUGUUGCAGUUAAAAAGCUCGUAGUUGGAUUCCUGGCACGGGGUAGCCGGUCCGCCCCUCACGGGGUGUGCACCUGGUCUCUACGUCCAUCCCCGGGGAGAGCGCGUCUGGCAUUCAGUUGUCGGGCGCGGGAUCCUCGUCAUUUACUGUGAGCAAAAUAGAGUGUUCAAAGCAGGCUUAGGCCGUUGAAUACAUUAGCAUGGAAUAAUAAGAUAGGACCUUGGUCUAUUUUGUUGGUUUGCAUUCCAAGGUAAUGAUUAAUAGGGAUAGUUGGGGGUAUUCGUAUUCAAUUGUCAGAGGUGAAAUUCUUGGAUUUAUGGAAGACGAACUACUGCGAAAGCAUUUACCAAGGAUGUUUUCAUCA